ACGGAGAGAUUCAUCGUCACUCCGCGGCGUGCGCGCGCUCGUCGGAUGCGACGCGUCCUCGGCCGCGUCGCACCGCGAGCCGCGCGUCGACGUCCGCGGACGGCGUGCACUUCUCUCUUAGUAAUGCAUCGCGACCCGUUCGACGUCGGCCUAAGCGCCGUCCGGGAGCCCGGUCGUCCUCGCCCUCGCGGGGGCGGUCGGACCGAGACGGUCGCCGACCGGCCGUCGGACGGUACAACGCAUGGAUCGCGCACGCGUUUACGACGCGUCCGGCCCGACGCAAGGUCCGCGACGUCGCCGAGGUCCUGCCCGUGUGCGGGCCUCGGCGCGUCGCGCCUGUCGUCGCAGCCGUGCUGUCUCGGACUGUGCGCGUCCCCGUCUGCGAUGAUUCAGUUUCGGGCACUCGCAGGACCCGUCUUGAAACACGGACCAAGGAGUCUAGCAUGUGUGCGAGCAAUUGAGAUCGUCAAACUGAAAGGCACAACGAAAGUGAAGGCGCGCGCUCGUCGCGCGCUCAGGGAGGAUGGAGCGUCGGUCCAGGUCGACCUCUCGCACUCCCGAGGCGUCUCGUUUCCAAUCCGUGAAUGCAGGCGCGCUCUGAGCGCAGAUGCU
This 612-nucleotide ribosomal RNA is filed under the name Emphylica cruoralis. RNAcentral describes it as "partial 28S ribosomal RNA". Lineage: Eukaryota; Metazoa; Arthropoda; Insecta; Lepidoptera; Crambidae. The record is from RNAcentral.